This 102-nucleotide non-coding RNA is filed under the name Alkalihalophilus pseudofirmus. RNAcentral describes it as "Bacillus pseudofirmus Guanine sequence". It matches the Rfam family "Purine riboswitch aptamer". Rfam says of the family: Riboswitches are metabolite binding domains within certain messenger RNAs that serve as precision sensors for their corresponding targets. Allosteric rearrangement of mRNA structure is mediated by ligand binding, and this results in modulation of gene expression. The record is from RNAcentral. RNAcentral also lists the same sequence under 1 other name. Lineage: Bacteria; Bacillati; Bacillota; Bacilli; Caryophanales; Bacillaceae.
ACAAACAAUAUAAAACAAACUCGUAUAAUCGUGAGGAUAUGGCUCACAAGUUUCUACCAAGCUGCCGUAAAUGGCUUGACUAUGAGUGAUGAUGACAAUCGG